This 245-nucleotide ribosomal RNA is filed under the name Mycena adscendens. RNAcentral's name for it is "partial 28S ribosomal RNA". It matches the Rfam family "Eukaryotic large subunit ribosomal RNA", at positions 104 to 344 of the family's 3401-position model. The record is from RNAcentral. Lineage: Eukaryota; Fungi; Basidiomycota; Agaricomycetes; Agaricales; Mycenaceae.
AAAGCUCAAAUUUAAAAUCUGGCGGCUUUGUCGUCCGAGUUGUAAUUUAGAGAAGUGUUACCCGUGUUGGACCGUGUACAAGUUCCCUGGAAUGGGGCGUCAUAGAGGGUGAGAAUCCCGUCUCUGACACGGACUCCCAAUGCAUUGUGGUGCGCUCUCGAAGAGUCGAGUUGUUUGGGAAUGCAGCUCAAAAUGGGUGGUAAAUUCCAUCUAAAGCUAAAUAUUGGGGAGAGACCGAUAGCGAA